UACGUAGGGUGCGAGCGUUAAUCGGAAUUACUGGGCGUAAAGCGUGCGCAGGCGGUUCGUUGUGUCGGCGGUGAAAGCCCCGGGCUUAACCUGGGAAUGGCCGUUGAAACUGGCGAACUGGAGUGUGGCAGAGGGGGGUGGAAUUCCGCGUGUAGCAGUGAAAUGCGUAGAGAUGCGGAGGAACACCGAUGGCGAAGGCAGCCCCCUCGGGCUAACACUGACGCUGAGGAGCGAAGGCGUGGGGAGCGAACAGG
Molecule: ribosomal RNA, 254 nt
Filed under: uncultured bacterium
Lineage: Bacteria
Description: partial 16S ribosomal RNA
Rfam family: Bacterial small subunit ribosomal RNA
Source: RNAcentral